GUGGGCCUUUCAUCACAUCCUCUGAUGGGGCAAUCUCCAAUUCAACAAUUGGGAGGGAUUUUCAUCCCUCGCUGUUGCUGGAGUUGAUCCGAUAGUCAAAGCUUGGGCAUAGUCACCCUCUAGAGCUGAAGGACCGAUGGUCGGGGCCUUGGCCUAUUUUUUUCAGACCAACGCUAGUUCAAGCUUCCUUACGAGUUCUGCGCUUAUCUUGCCUCUGAGGAUCGCAACAAGGGUUUGGAGCAGGAAGGUCUCACGAUUACUUUUCUUUGACUAAACGUCUAGG
RNAcentral lists this long non-coding RNA (283 nucleotides) under Elaeis guineensis (African oil palm). RNAcentral's name for it is "long non-coding RNA (EGUI_LNC027503)". The record is from RNAcentral. Lineage: Eukaryota; Viridiplantae; Streptophyta; Magnoliopsida; Arecales; Arecaceae.